This 449-nucleotide unclassified non-coding RNA is filed under the name Hevea brasiliensis (rubber tree). The record is from RNAcentral. Lineage: Eukaryota; Viridiplantae; Streptophyta; Magnoliopsida; Malpighiales; Euphorbiaceae.
AAGUCAGAAUUGCAGCCAAAUGAGCGCCACCAUUUCAGGACAAAUCCCCGAGGAAAUGCCUUCUGAUUUGUUGUAGAUUAAAUUAACCAUGUGAUUUAGGAGUGCGACUCUGUAUCUGAACCAGUGUGAAUGAAAUGCUAGUUGGUUUCAUUUCAUUGUUGAACAUUUUAACCCGCAGCUUCACUAUUUCAAGGAAAUAGCGAAGCUGAAAUUAAGGUGCAAGUGAUUUUAUAAUUUUUCUGCACAAACCUCUAUUAUGCAUUUGUAGUUUUUGAGUAUUUACAGUUUUAGUUUUCCUGGUGUGUAUACGAAUUUAACUGGCAGAUGAUCCUGUGGAUGUACAGUUGCGCCUCAUGUCCAUGAGGUUUGAAGUUUGAACAAACAAAAUGGUAGGAGCUUGUGUAUAAAAUGUGCUAUUGCCAUGCGCUCUUUUUCUUGCAAAAAAAAAA